This 292-nucleotide ribosomal RNA is filed under the name uncultured bacterium. RNAcentral describes it as "partial 16S ribosomal RNA". It matches the Rfam family "Bacterial small subunit ribosomal RNA", at positions 505 to 796 of the family's 1533-position model. The record is from RNAcentral.
GUGCCAGCAGCCGCGGUAAUACGUAGGGGGCCAGCGUUGCUCGGAAUUACUGGGCGUAAAGGGUUCGUAGGUGGUGCGGUAAGUUGGGAGUGAAAUCUCUGGGCUUAACUCAGGGGCUGCUUUCAAAACUGCCGUGCUCGAGUGCGAGAGAGGUCAGUGGAAUUGCAGGUGUAGCGGUGAAAUGCGUAGAUAUCUGCAGGAACACCCGUGGCGAAGGCGGCUGACUGGAUCGCAACUGACACUGAGGAACGAAAGCUAGGGGAGCAAACAGGAUUAGAUACCCUGGUAGUCC